RNAcentral lists this ribosomal RNA (380 nucleotides) under uncultured eukaryote. Its description in RNAcentral is "partial 18S ribosomal RNA". It matches the Rfam family "Eukaryotic small subunit ribosomal RNA", at positions 592 to 976 of the family's 1831-position model. The record is from RNAcentral.
CAAUAGCGUAUAUUAAAGUUGUUGCGGUUAAAAAGCUCGUAGUUGGAUUUCUGCCGAGGACGACCGGUCCGCCCUCCGGGUGAGCAUCUGGCUCGGCCUAGGCAUCUUCUUGGGGAGCGUAUCUGCACUUCAUUGUGUGGUGCGGUAUCCAAGACUUUUACUUUGAGGAAAUUAGAGUGUUUCAAGCAGGCCCACGCCUUGAAUACAUUAGCAUGGAAUAAUAAGGUAGGACCUCGGUUCUAUUUUGUUGGUUUCUAGAAUUGAGGUAAUGAUUAAUAGGGAUAGUUGGGGGCAUUCGUAUUUAACUGUCAGAGGUGAAAUUCUUGGAUCGGCUAAAGACGGACAACUGCGAAAGCGUUUGCCCAGGAUGUUUUCAUUGA